UUAAGUUAUUAAGGGCGCACGGUGGAUGCCUUGGCACUAGAAGCCGAUGAAGGACGUUACUAACGACGAUAUGCUUUGGGGAGCUGUAAGUAAGCUUUGAUCCAGAGAUUUCCGAAUGGGGAAACCCAGCAUGAGUUAUGUCAUGUUAUCGAUAUGUGAAUACAUAGCAUAUC
RNAcentral lists this ribosomal RNA (173 nucleotides) under Staphylococcus aureus 1101-1 2011. Its description in RNAcentral is "partial 23S ribosomal RNA". It matches the Rfam family "Bacterial large subunit ribosomal RNA", at positions 3 to 175 of the family's 2925-position model. The record is from RNAcentral. Lineage: Bacteria; Bacillati; Bacillota; Bacilli; Caryophanales; Staphylococcaceae.